AUUGAACGCUGGCGGAAUGCUUUACACAUGCAAGUCGAGCGGCAGCGCGGGGCAACCUGGCGGCGAGCGGCGAACGGGUGAGUAAUACAUCGGAACGUACCCAGUUGUGGGGGAUAGCCCGGCGAAGGCCGGAUUAAUACCGCAUACGACCUGAGGGUGAAAGCGGGGGAUCGCAAGACCUCGCGCAGUUGGAGCGGCCGAUGGCGGAUUAGCUAGUUGGUAGGGUAAAGGCCUACCAAGGCGACGAUCCGUAGCGGGUCUGAGAGGACGACCCGCCACACGGGAACUGAGACACGGUCCAGACUCCUACGGGAGGCAGCAGUGGGGAAUUUUGGACAAUGGGGGCAACCCUGAUCCAGCCAUUCCGCGUGAGUGAAGAAGGCCUUCGGGUUGUAAAGCUCUUUCGGCAGGAACGAAACGGUCUGUGCUAAUACCACGGGCUAAUGACGGUACCUGAAGAAGAAGCACCGGCUAACUACGUGCCAGCCGCCGCCGUAA
This 498-nucleotide ribosomal RNA is filed under the name uncultured bacterium. RNAcentral's name for it is "partial 16S ribosomal RNA". It matches the Rfam family "Bacterial small subunit ribosomal RNA", at positions 29 to 523 of the family's 1533-position model. The record is from RNAcentral.